This 402-nucleotide long non-coding RNA is filed under the name Cyanistes caeruleus (blue tit). RNAcentral's name for it is "lncRNA (ENSCCEG00000017356.1)". The record is from RNAcentral. Lineage: Eukaryota; Metazoa; Chordata; Aves; Passeriformes; Paridae.
GUUCUUUCCACUGGUUGAAUUUCAGAGAGAAAAUCAUUCCUUUAAAGCUGGAAGUGUUGGAUGACUUCAAGAAUUCGGCAAGACUAGACUGGAAACAACCUCUGAUCUUCCAGACAUUGUCUGAAUUUCAAUUCUUUGCAUUGCAUACCCUGUUGGAAAUUGAUGAGCUACCAUUUAUAUCAGAUGCAGUCCCUUAUGUUUGUCUUGAAAUGCUUGGAAGGAAUGGCUACUUUGGCAACAAUACUUCGAGGGAAACUCAGCUGUGCCUGGGGAAAACUAGAGCCACUACUGCAGACAGACAGAGAGACACGGCAGAAAGACAAGCAUUUUGAGAGCACAGUUAAUUAUGAAGUUACCAGGACGUUUUCCAUCUGUUUCUGCAAUGAAGCCUUUCAGUCAUGA